GAUGAACGCUGGCGGCGUGCUUAACACAUGCAAGUCGAACGGAAAGGCCCAAGCUUGCUUGGGUACUCGAGUGGCGAACGGGUGAGUAACACGUGGGUGAUCUGCCCUGCACUUCGGGAUAAGCUUAGGAAACUGGGUCUAAUACCGGAUAGGACGAUGUGUUGGAUGCCAUGGUUGAAAGUUUUUUCGGGGUGGGAUGAGCUCGCGGCCUAUCAGAUUGUUUGUGGGGUAAUGGGCUAACAAGACGUCUACGGGUAUACGGCCUGAGAGGGUGUACGGCGACACUGGGACAGAGAUACGGCGCAGACUCCUACGGGGGGGAGAAGUGGGGAAUAUUGCACAAUGGGGGCAAGACUGAUGCAGAGACGCCGCGUGGGGGAUGACGGCCUUCGGGUUGUAAACUCCUUUCGCUAGGGACGAAGCGUUUUUGUGACGGUACCUGGAGAAGAAGCACCGGCUAACUACGUG
Molecule: ribosomal RNA, 468 nt
Filed under: uncultured bacterium
Lineage: Bacteria
Description: partial 16S ribosomal RNA
Rfam family: Bacterial small subunit ribosomal RNA
Source: RNAcentral